RNAcentral lists this ribosomal RNA (480 nucleotides) under uncultured bacterium. Its description in RNAcentral is "bacterial SSU rRNA". It matches the Rfam family "Bacterial small subunit ribosomal RNA", at positions 38 to 507 of the family's 1533-position model. The record is from RNAcentral.
GGCGGCAAGCCUUACACAUGCAAGUCGAGCGGUAGCAUUUCUAGCUUGCUAGAAGAUGACGAGCGGCGGACGGGUGAGUAAAGCAUAGGAAUCUGGCCAAUAGAGGGGGAUAGCCCGGAGAAAUCCGGAUUAAUACCGCAUACACUCUAUGGAGAAAAAGCAGGGGGAUCUUCGGACCUUGCACUAUUGGAUGAGCCUAUGUCGGAUUAGUUAGUUGGUGGGGUAAAGGCCUACCAAGGCAGCGAUCCGUAGCUGGUCUUAGAGGAUGAUCAGCCACAUCGGGACUGAGACACGGCCCGAACUCCUACGGGAGGCAGCAGUGGGGAAUAUUGCACAAUGGGCGCAAGCCUGAUGCAGCUAUGCCGCGUGUGUGAAGAAGGCCUUAGGGUUGUAAAGCACUUUCAGUAGUGAGGAAAAGUGUUGUGUUAAUAGUGCAAUGCUGUGACGUUAGCUACAGAAGAAGGACCGGCAAACUCCGUG